RNAcentral lists this ribosomal RNA (158 nucleotides) under Botryosphaeria dothidea. RNAcentral's name for it is "5.8S ribosomal RNA". It matches the Rfam family "5.8S ribosomal RNA". Rfam says of the family: 5.8S ribosomal RNA (5.8S rRNA) is a component of the large subunit of the eukaryotic ribosome. It is transcribed by RNA polymerase I as part of the 45S precursor that also contains 18S and 28S rRNA. The record is from RNAcentral. Lineage: Eukaryota; Fungi; Ascomycota; Dothideomycetes; Botryosphaeriales; Botryosphaeriaceae.
UUCUAAAACUUUCAACAACGGAUCUCUUGGUUCUGGCAUCGAUGAAGAACGCAGCGAAAUGCGAUAAGUAAUGUGAAUUGCAGAAUUCAGUGAAUCAUCGAAUCUUUGAACGCACAUUGCGCCCCUUGGUAUUCCGAGGGGCAUGCCUGUUCGAGCGU